UUUUAACUAUGUUCCUGUGUCCAAGCCUUUAUGUGUAGUUUUAAUGCACAUGAAGCUAUUAGUCAUGAGUGUUUAUCUUAAUGCAUGGUGUGCAGAAAGAAAGCUGUGUCUCAUCGGACCUCUAUAGGUUGAUGCUUGGUGAAGAGGAAGAUGAUGCUACCAGCGAGUUAGUUGCACCUAAGCCUAACCAUGAUGCUAAAAAAUAUGAUGUAGAUGCUGCUAAAUAACAUGAUGUCGCUCGUUUUCAGAAGGUAAAUAUUUUCCUUAAGAUAUCUUGUUCAUGUGAUAGACUCUUGACUGGUAGUGUUUCUAACAGUACGAACCUUCUCAUGAAUCCAUUUUACAAUAUGGGUGGUUUGUCAUUUAUCUUGUUGUUGGCUCAAAGUAACUUGUUCUGCCCAAGUUAGGAUUAGUGCUGUCAUUGAAUAUUCUAUUUCCCCCUGGAUUUUCUUUGAGAGUAAACAUGGUGUUGUCCUACUAUUUUUCUUCUUAAGAAACAUAGCAGAAGAUGGCUGUAAAUGUUCUUUUUCCUUUUGAACCAUAAAAUUUUAAAAUUAUAUGGCUGUGUUACUAGUUGCUGAGUGUGCUGACAAUGGUGAUUAGUCUAUAAGUGUAUCCAGAAAGUUCUUUUGGAAGUACCUCAAAAUUUGAAAUAUGUGAACAUUAUUCAGUGUUCCCUAGUCCUCAUUAUGUAUCAAUCAAACAAGUGUCCCACCAAAUUAGCUAGGGACAAAUUUAUGUAUCCGUUGCAACCAUUCUACUAUAUUGUUCAUUCGGUAUUCAAAGGAUCAUGAUAGCUAGACUAUUUUCCUAUUGAUCUUUAACCUAUUAGGAUGUUUUUCCUUUAAUCCCUGCUGGGAUCAGUUGUGCUUUACAAAGUACAGAGUUGUUGAGUUUCUUUGUCUAUGUGAUAAAUAUAAAUAAAGCUAUUCGUACCAAAGUCAAACUUAUGAUGCUGGGGUUCUUGAAGAGCUGGUCCAGCAGAUGCUUCAUGAGUGAAAGGCUAAGCUCAAUGAGCCUUCUUCUACUUCUUCUUUGCAAGCAAUAACUAAUCUUAUAUCUCUUUAGCGGGGUAUGCCAAGUGGUUUUAGUUUCGUUUAUUGCCCAUAAUGUCCCAUGUUAUGAUAUUAUCUGGUAUACAUUAGUCUUAGAUUAAUGGAUCAAAUUUGUCUUUAUUUGCGUGUUUAUGAUAUCUAAUGUUAUGUUUGGUUUAACCAUCUUUAGAAAAUCCUUACUAAAAAUUUGGAUCUAUUAUACGUGCAAACUUGAAUCACUAUAAAUGUAAUUGUAUCGCAUUGUUCAUUAUAGUGUAAUUAUGUGCAAUUAUUGAUACUAGUGUUUUAACUAUGUUCCUGUGUCCAAGCCUUUAUGUGUAGUUUUAAUGCACAUGAAGCUAUUAGUCAUGAGUGUUUAUCUUAAUGCAUGGUGUGCAGAAAGAAAGCUGUGUCUCAUCGGACCUCUAUAGGUUGAUGCUUGGUGAAGAGGAAGAUGAUGCUACCAGCGAGUUAGUUGCACCUAAGCCUAACCAUGAUGCUAAAAAAUAUGAUGUAGAUGCUGCUAAAUAACAUGAUGUCGCUCGUUUUCAGAAGGUAAAUAUUUUCCUUAAGAUAUCUUGUUCAUGUGAUAGACUCUUGACUGGUAGUGUUUCUAACAGUACGAACCUUCUCAUGAAUCCAUUUUACAAUAUGGGUGGUUUGUCAUUUAUCUUGUUGUUGGCUCAAAGUAACUUGUUCUGCCCAAGUUAGGAUUAGUGCUGUCAUUGAAUAUUCUAUUUCCCCCUGGAUUUUCUUUGAGAGUAAACAUGGUGUUGUCCUACUAUUUUUCUUCUUAAGAAACAUAGCAGAAGAUGGCUGUAAAUGUUCUUUUUCCUUUUGAAC
RNAcentral lists this long non-coding RNA (1877 nucleotides) under Capsicum annuum. Its description in RNAcentral is "long non-coding RNA (CANN_LNC014164)". Lineage: Eukaryota; Viridiplantae; Streptophyta; Magnoliopsida; Solanales; Solanaceae. The record is from RNAcentral.